Molecule: ribosomal RNA, 2080 nt
Filed under: Klebsiella aerogenes
Lineage: Bacteria; Pseudomonadati; Pseudomonadota; Gammaproteobacteria; Enterobacterales; Enterobacteriaceae
Description: bacterial LSU rRNA
Rfam family: Bacterial large subunit ribosomal RNA
Source: RNAcentral
CACUAUCGUUAACUGAAUACAUAGGUUAACGAGGCGAACCGGGGGAACUGAAACAUCUAAGUACCCCGAGGAAAAGAAAUCAACCGAGAUUCCCCCAGUAGCGGCGAGCGAACGGGGAGCAGCCCAGAGUCUGAAUCAGCUUGUGUGUUAGUGGAACGGUCUGGAAAGUCCGACGGUACAGGGUGAUAGUCCCGUACACCAAAAUGCACAGGCUGUGAACUCGAAGAGUAGGGCGGGACACGUGGUAUCCUGUCUGAAUAUGGGGGGACCAUCCUCCAAGGCUAAAUACUCCUGACUGACCGAUAGUGAACCAGUACCGUGAGGGAAAGGCGAAAAGAACCCCGGCGAGGGGAGUGAAAAAGAACCUGAAACCGUGUACGUACAAGCAGUGGGAGCACCUUCGGGUGUGACUGCGUACCUUUUGUAUAAUGGGUCAGCGACUUAUAUUCUGUAGCAAGGUUAACCGUAUAGGGGAGCCGCAGGGAAACCGAGUCUUAACUGGGCGUUAAGUUGCAGGGUAUAGACCCGAAACCCGGUGAUCUAGCCAUGGGCAGGUUGAAGGUUGGGUAACACUAACUGGAGGACCGAACCGACUAAUGUUGAAAAAUUAGCGGAUGACUUGUGGCUGGGGGUGAAAGGCCAAUCAAACCGGGAGAUAGCUGGUUCUCCCCGAAAGCUAUUUAGGUAGCGCCUCGUGAAUUCAUCUUCGGGGGUAGAGCACUGUUUCGGCUAGGGGGUCAUCCCGACUUACCAACCCGAUGCAAACUACGAAUACCGAAGAAUGUUAUCACGGGAGACACACGGCGGGUGCUAACGUCCGUCGUGAAGAGGGAAACAACCCAGACCGCCAGCUAAGGUCCCAAAGUCACAGUUAAGUGGGAAACGAUGUGGGAAGGCACAGACAGCCAGGAUGUUGGCUUAGAAGCAGCCAUCAUUUAAAGAAAGCGUAAUAGCUCACUGGUCGAGUCGGCCUGCGCGGAAGAUGUAACGGGGCUAAACUGUGCACCGAAGCUGCGGCAGCGACACUAUGUGUUGUUGGGUAGGGGAGCGUUCUGUAAGCCUGCGAAGGUGGCCUGUGAGGGUUGCUGGAGGUAUCAGAAGUGCGAAUGCUGACAUAAGUAACGAUAAUGCGGGUGAAAAGCCCGCACGCCGGAAGACCAAGGGUUCCUGUCCAACGUUAAUCGGGGCAGGGUGAGUCGACCCCUAAGGCGAGGCCGAAAGGCGUAGUCGAUGGGAAACAGGUUAAUAUUCCUGUACUUGGUGUUACUGCGAAGGGGGGACGGAGAAGGCUAUGUUAGCCGGGCGACGGUUGUCCCGGUUUAAGCAUGUAGGCGGAGGUUCCAGGUAAAUCCGGUACCUUNNNNNNNNNNNNNNNNNNNNNNUUAACGCUGAGGUGUGAUGACGAGGCACUACGGUGCUGAAGUAACAAAUGCCCUGCUUCCAGGAAAAGCCUCUAAGCAUCAGGUAACAUUAAAUCGUACCCCAAACCGACACAGGUGGUCAGGUAGAGAAUACCAAGGCGCUUGAGAGAACUCGGGUGAAGGAACUAGGCAAAAUGGUGCCGUAACUUCGGGAGAAGGCACGCUGAUAUGUAGGUGAAGCCCCUGCGGGUGGAGCUGAAAUCAGUCGAAGAUACCAGCUGGCUGCAACUGUUUAUUAAAAACACAGCACUGUGCAAACACGAAAGUGGACGUAUACGGUGUGACGCCUGCCCGGUGCCGGAAGGUUAAUUGAUGGGGUUAUCCGUAAGGAGAAGCUCUUGAUCGAAGCCCCGGUAAACGGCGGCCGUAACUAUAACGGUCCUAAGGUAGCGAAAUUCCUUGUCGGGUAAGUUCCGACCUGCACGAAUGGCGUAAUGAUGGCCAGGCUGUCUCCACCCGAGACUCAGUGAAAUUGAACUCGCUGUGAAGAUGCAGUGUACCCGCGGCAAGACGGAAAGACCCCGUGAACCUUUACUAUAGCUUGACACUGAACAUUGAGCCUUGAUGUGUAGGAUAGGUGGGAGGCUUUGAAGCGUGGACGCCAGUCUGCGUGGAGCCAACCUUGAAAUACCACCCUUUAAUGUUUGAUGUUCUAACGU